GGUUAUGUUGAAAAAUGAUCUCUUGAGUUAUUUGCUUUUAGAAACUCAAAGGUUAGUUUGAGAAGCAAAUAAAAACACUCUAAACUCAGAAGUAUGAUGAGAAUGUAGAUCUUGAGUGUGAGUGAUAAAAGAAGAGUUUCAUGACUUGUAGACAAAAACAAGUGAUUGAUGAUUUGUAGCUUCAACUCUUACUCUUCAAUGUUGCCAAAGCCUUCCUUUUAUAGUUGAACCUUGAGUCUUCAGUUCCUUGGUCCCAAAGGAAGUUUUCCAACGGCUAGUUGCUUCAAAAU
Molecule: long non-coding RNA, 290 nt
Filed under: Trifolium pratense (red clover)
Lineage: Eukaryota; Viridiplantae; Streptophyta; Magnoliopsida; Fabales; Fabaceae
Description: long non-coding RNA (TPRA_LNC006045)
Source: RNAcentral